RNAcentral lists this ribosomal RNA (205 nucleotides) under uncultured Latescibacterota bacterium. RNAcentral's name for it is "uncultured Latescibacteria bacterium partial 16S ribosomal RNA". It matches the Rfam family "Bacterial small subunit ribosomal RNA", at positions 1179 to 1382 of the family's 1533-position model. The record is from RNAcentral. Lineage: Bacteria; Pseudomonadati; Candidatus Latescibacterota.
AUGACGUCAAGUCCUCAUGGCCCUUACAUCCCGGGCUACACACGUGCUACAAUGGCAGGUACAGAGGGCUGCGAAGCCGCGAGGUGGAGCGAAUCCCAGAAAACCUGUCUCAGUCCGGAUUGAAGUCUGCAACUCGACUUCAUGAAGGCGGAAUCGCUAGUAACCGCGAAUCAGCAGGUCGCGGUGAAUACGGUUCCCGGGCCUU